This 301-nucleotide ribosomal RNA is filed under the name uncultured bacterium. RNAcentral's name for it is "partial 16S ribosomal RNA". It matches the Rfam family "Bacterial small subunit ribosomal RNA", at positions 509 to 807 of the family's 1533-position model. The record is from RNAcentral.
CAGCAGCCGCGGGAAUACGUAGGGUGCGAGCGUUAAUCGGAAUUACUGGGCGUAAAGCGUGCGCAGGCGGUUUUGUAAGACAGGCGUGAAAUCCCCGGGCUCAACCUGGGAAUGGCGCUUGUGACUGCAAAGCUAGAGUGCGGCAGAGGGGGAUGGAAUUCCGCGUGUAGCAGUGAAAUGCGUAGAUAUGCGGAGGAACACCGAUGGCGAAGGCAAUCCCCUGGGCCUGCACUGACGCUCAUGCACGAAAGCGUGGGGAGCAAACAGGAUUAGAUACCCGAGUAGUCCCUGUCUCUUAUAC